CAUAUUUUCCCCCUAAUAGUGACCUCUAAUUGUGUAUGACCACCUUUAGUCAGUGACUCUCUCUUGACAUGAGUAAGUGAGUGCUUCAGAACAGAUCCCUGCAGCUUUCACUGUGAGCAGAAAAACCUCUGUACCUAUGUGUCUCUCAAAAACUCACUAACAGCUGCUAACACUGGGGGUGGGGUACGGCAGGGCCCUGAGACAGUAAUCCCGGUGGGCCUGACCCUGACAACAUAGCCUGCCACUAGAAAUGUAAAGUCAAAUGUGGUAAUAACUAAACUGGUAUGCAAGAAUAUGAUAGAAAAAAUGUUAUUUCAGCAUCCUCCCUGCUAGUGCAGGAAUAUGUGGAAGUGCCACAACAGGAUCAAACUUUUUGUUUUAUAUGUGACAAUUGGUACUAAAGUUACACUUCCUAGGCUAAAUGCAGAACCCCCUGUACCCCCUCAGUGGGGGCCCCCGUUACUGCCUUAGAGAUCUCUGUAUGUCUCUAGCCAUUUGCUAAACUACCCAGCUGUCCCCGUGAUAACUAGUAGCUGAGCUGUAGUUCAGUUACAAACAGAGAUCUAAGCAGGGCCAUCAUUAAAUGGGGACAGGGGGGGUCCAGUCAGGGGUCCCAGGAGAUCUAAUGGGGGACCUGGUUCUAAAGCUGCUGUUUAUAGUUUAUUAGUGUUGUUUCAGAAUGUGCAAGUUUGAUUUGUAUGCGAUUGGCUGUCAGUUACUGGGAUAUCAUGCCUUAUCUCUGUGACAUUACUCCCAGCUCAGCUCUGAUUGGCUGAAAGCUGCAAGGAAGGUGAUAUAACGGCUCAGGUACAGAUGACCACUAUUUCAUUUCUGGAUUCAGAGGUAAGUGCAGCAGAUCCAUACACAGGGAACAGGGGGGCAUAUUUAGAAGAUACAAAGGGCAAUUUUGGGUGUUUUGUCACCCAUCAUUUAUAGUAGCUUGGGUAGUGGGGCCAUCGCUCCCAAAAUUUAAUUUAAUCUAAUUGGGGAGCUGCUUGUCAUGAAGCUGUUCCAAAUGGCAUCUGUGUGACAAGUAGGAAUGGGGGGGGUAAUUUAAGGCAACUUGGCAUUACAUUCCUGCAAUAAAUACACUAUGAUUGUAUAAGAUACAUUGUGCUCUCUGGGUAUUCUUAACAUGUUAAAUUUCUGCAAUUGUACAUGGGAACUGCAGCACUGAAUAUAUAUUCAAAUAAACUCAGUAUUAAUUGGAUACAGAUACCUAGAUAUUACACUUAUACAGAGUAUCACCAGAAAAUGGGUUUCUGAUGGCAGCCCUGACCCCCAAUCAACUAACAUGUGGGUGUCAAAGUGCCUAAAAUCUCCCCAUAUGCCAUCUCUAAUGGGAGUGAGACCAUAAAAACAUAUAGUUCUAAGGCAAUGGGUGUUUGGUUUACUUGUUGUUGCAUUUGAAGCAUUAGACAAUUUUUUCUGCCUCUGCUGUAAAUGGCAACGGUCAUUUGCCAACUGUCAUUUUCCAACGGUCGCACUCAUCCUAGCAACAGUCAGUGGCCUCAACACUAGAGUGGGUGACAGUUCAGAGAGGCUUAAGUAGAAAUACAAGUAGCACAAAUCAGAAGAAUAAAUGUCUGUAGUGCUGUUACAAGCCCACCCUGAUCAUGACAUUAUAAGCAAUACAAAUACCUCUUAUGGCCACCCUUAUUUUGCAUCAUGGGAGAUGAUGAAGGCCUUCCGACAUGCCAGUGAUAAAGAGCUGACUGCCAUUUAGGGCAUCUGGGGCUCUAGAAGUGUCAGGGUCCAAAUCCCCCAUUAUGCUCCUGCUCACAAUCUCUUAUUAUUUCUCCCCAAAAAGUGAAAUAUUCAGAGCGAUUUGUGAGAGACAGAUUUGAGAGAGAAAGCGAUUGUGAGAGAGACAGCAAAAGAAGAAGAGAGAGAGAGAAGCAAAGAGAAGAUAGAAGACAAAGAAGACCUUGAGUGACCCCCUGCCAGAGAUUAAUAACAUCUUCUCAUUUGGGAUCCUCUGGACAAAGGCUUGUCUUCAAGCACGGACCACCUUUACAUAAAAGGCUAUCGCCAGGGCUCACAGUGGAUCUACAGGAAGGAGGAGAUGAUCUGUAAGAUCACUGAUUUGGAGAGCAUGAGGAAGGACAUCAUUGGCGAAAUAAAAUGGACAAGCUAUGAUUAUUGUAUAGCUAGAGACAGCCUGGAAUUAACAAGGUGGUGGAAAAUCAGAUUAUGGCUGAGGUCCUGCAGGACAACAUGAAGGCCAAAAAGCCCAACUGAAAUCCCUCUACAAACAACUAGAGGAGAUAAACUGGGCAAUUUUCAGGAAGUACAUUGAAACAUAUCCAGAGAGCCCACCAGCCACCAGCACCAUCACAGUUUACAUGGUACCACAUAUUGAUGCACCUCUGUGUAGGUGAUCUUCAUGACACAGAGGUGAGUGAGCCAUUCUCAAUUCCACCAGCGGUGCCUCCACUACAAUACACCAUGAUUCCACCAGUGGUGCUCCUCCCUUACACCUAAAAUAUGGUUCCAUAGACAGGAGAACCAUUAGGCCACUUGGUAGACCCUGCAUUCCUUUUCAAUCCAUCCCUCAAACUGCAGAAGCCGGGUCUGCAGGCUGCCUGGGGUCCAAUGGAAUGACGAGGAAUGCAGGGUUCACUUUGUAGCGUAAUGGUGCUCAUAUAUAUUCAGCCAUAUUCCCUUCUACUUUAGUUCCCUCCACCGCAAUUCCAACCACAGUGUCCCCAAUUAUUUCUACCGUAAUUCCACCAGUGGUGCCACACUAACACCUAAAAUAUGGUUCCAUAGACAAGAGCACCCUCAAGCCACUCAGUAGACCCUGCAUUCCUUUUCACUCCAUCCUUCAAACUGCAGAAGCCGGGUUUGCAGGCUGUCUGGGGUCCAACAGAAUGAAGAGGAAAGCAGUGUUCACCUAGCAGCUUAAAGGCACUCCCAUGUAUAUGUAGCCAUAUUCACCUCUGUUUCAAUUCCCUCUACCGUAAUUUCACCAGCGUUGCCCCCUUACACCUAAAAUAUGGUUUCAUAAACAAGAGCACCCUUAAGCCACUCAGUAGACCCUGCAUUCCUUUCCAUUCCAUCCCUCAAGUCUGCUGAUGCUGGGGUCCA
Xenopus laevis (African clawed frog) is the source of this 3090-nucleotide long non-coding RNA. RefSeq lists it as uncharacterized. The record is from RefSeq and is a predicted model, not a curated record. NCBI's taxonomy places the organism in Eukaryota, Metazoa, Chordata, Amphibia, Anura, Pipidae. The transcript is spliced from 4 exons.